RNAcentral lists this ribosomal RNA (482 nucleotides) under uncultured bacterium. RNAcentral describes it as "bacterial SSU rRNA". It matches the Rfam family "Bacterial small subunit ribosomal RNA", at positions 36 to 507 of the family's 1533-position model. The record is from RNAcentral.
CUGGCGGCAGGCCUAACACAUGCAAGUCGAACGGUAGCACAGGAGAGCUUGCUCUCUGGGUGACGAGUGGCGGACGGGUGAGUAAUGCAUGGGGAGCUGCCCAAUCGAGGGGGAUACCAGCUGGAAACGGCUGCUAAUACCGCAUACGCCCUGAGGGGGAAAGGUGGGGACCUUCGGGCCUACCGCGAUUGGAUGCACCCAUGUGGGAUUAGCUAGUUGGUGAGGUAACGGCUCACCAAGGCGACGAUCUCUAGCUGGUCUGAGAGGAUGACCAGCCACACUGGAACUGAGACACGGUCCAGACUCCUACGGGAGGCAGCAGUGGGGAAUAUUGCACAAUGGGGGAAACCCUGAUGCAGCCAUGCCGCGUGUGUGAAGAAGGCCUUCGGGUUGUAAAGCACUUUCAGUGGGGAGGAAGGGGUGAUGCCUAAUACGCAUCAUCAUUGACGUUACCCACAGAAGAAGCACCGGCUAACUCCGUG